GACGAACGCUGGCGGCGUGCUUAACACAUGCAAGUCGAGCGGUAAGGCCCUUCGGGGUACGACGAGCGGCGAACGGGUGAGUAACACGUGGGUGACCUGCCUCUAGCUCUGGGAUAAGCCUGGGAAACUGGGUCGUAAUACCGGAUAUGACUCCACGGCGCAUGUUGUGGGGUGGAAAGCCUUGUGUGGCUAGAGAUGGGCCCGCGGCCUAUCAGCUUGUUGGUGGGGUGAUGGCCUACCAAGGCGACGACGGGUAGCCGGCCUGAGAGGGCGACCGGCCACACUGGGACUGAGACACGGCCCAGACUCCUACGGGAGGCGAGCAGUGGGGAAGUACUUUGCGGCAAUGGGCGGAAAGACCUGACGCAGCGACGCCCGCGUGAGGGAUGACGGCC
This 395-nucleotide ribosomal RNA is filed under the name uncultured bacterium. Its description in RNAcentral is "bacterial SSU rRNA". It matches the Rfam family "Bacterial small subunit ribosomal RNA", at positions 28 to 416 of the family's 1533-position model. The record is from RNAcentral.